Molecule: ribosomal RNA, 610 nt
Filed under: uncultured bacterium
Lineage: Bacteria
Description: bacterial SSU rRNA
Rfam family: Bacterial small subunit ribosomal RNA
Source: RNAcentral
CCUACGGGAGGCAGCAGUAAGGAAUAUUGGUCAAUGGGCGCAAGCCUGAACCAGCCAUGCCGCGUACAGGAAGACGGCCCUAUGGGUUGUAAACUGCUUUUGAACAAGAGAAAACCUCGGUACGUGUACCGAGCUGAUAGUAUUGUUAGAAUAAGCAUCGGCUAACUUCGUGCCAGCAGCCGCGGUAAGACGAAGGAUGCAAGCGUUAUCCGGAUUCAUUGGGUUUAAAGGGUGCGUAGGCGGCCUGAUAAGUCAGUGGUGAAAUCUCUCAGCUUAACUGAGAAACUGCCAUUGAUACUGUCGGGCUUGAGUACAGAUGAUGUGGGCGGAAUAUGACAUGUAGUGGUGAAAUACUUAGAUAUGUCAUAGAACACCGAUUGCGAAGGCAGCUCACAAAACUGUAACUGACGCUGAGGCACGAAAGUGCGGGGAUCAAACAGGAUUAGAUACCCUGGUAGUCCGCACCGUAAACGAUGAUUACUCGUUGUUGGCAAUAUGACCGUCAGCGACCAAGCGAAAGCGAUAAGUAAUCCACCUGGGGAGUACGCCGGCAACGGUGAAACUUAAAGGAAUUGACCGGNNGAGAGNGCGAGGAGACACGAGGGAGGAG